Molecule: microRNA precursor, 86 nt
Filed under: Murid betaherpesvirus 1 (Murine cytomegalovirus)
Lineage: Duplodnaviria; Heunggongvirae; Peploviricota; Herviviricetes; Herpesvirales; Orthoherpesviridae
Description: microRNA mcmv-mir-m108 precursor (mcmv-mir-m108-2)
Gene: mcmv-mir-m108-2
Rfam family: mir-m107-1 microRNA precursor family (bases 13-77)
Source: miRBase by way of RNAcentral
GAUCACUCGUCGCGAGCGGUCACUCGACGCGAGCACCGAGUCGCUACGGACGGUGACUCGAGACGAGUGACCGGUCGACGAGCGUC